AGUAAUGUCUGGGAAACUGCCCGAUGGAGGGGGAUAACUACUGGAAACGGUAGCUAAUACCGCAUAACGUCUACGGACCAAAGUGGGGGACCUUCGGGCCUCACACCAUCGGAUGUGCCCAGAUGGGAUUAGCUGGUAGGUGGGGUAAUGGCUCACCUAGGCGACGAUCCCUAGCUGGUCUGAGAGGAUGACCAGCCACACUGGAACUGAGACACGGUCCAGACUCCUACGGGAGGCAGCAGUGGGGAAUAUUGCACAAUGGGCGCAAGCCUGAUGCAGCCAUGCCGCGUGUGUGAAGAAGGCCUUCGGGUUGUAAAGCACUUUCAGCGAGGAGGAAGGCGUUGCAGUUAAUAACUGCAGCGAUUGACGUUACUCGCAGAAGAAGCACCGGCUAACUCCGUGCCAGCAGCCGCGGUAAUACGGAGGGUGCAAGCGUUAAUCGGAAUUACUGGGCGUAAAGCGCACGCAGGCGGUCUGUUAAGUCAGAUGUGAAAUCCCCGGGCUUAACCUGGGAACUGCAUUUGAAACUGGCAGGCUAGAGUCUCGUAGAGGGGGGUAGAAUUCCAGGUGUAGCGGUGAAAUGCGUAGAGAUCUGGAGGAAUACCGGUGGCGAAGGCGGCCCCCUGG
This 627-nucleotide ribosomal RNA is filed under the name uncultured bacterium. RNAcentral's name for it is "bacterial SSU rRNA". It matches the Rfam family "Bacterial small subunit ribosomal RNA", at positions 109 to 732 of the family's 1533-position model. The record is from RNAcentral.